AAAAGCGCGGGUCAUAAUUCAGUUUUAGUGCGGAUCGUGUAGUCCGCCACUAUAUCAGAGUGCGAUCAUUCGCAUCGCCAAUGUUCAUAGAAGGAACAAGAAGACGUUGAACAGCGACUUGAUCGGAAUGAUGCUGUGUUCGAUCCUGAAGCUGCUGAAAACGAUGACUUCGAGUAAUGGAGCUCUCCGUUUUCGAGUUCAGCACUAAUGACGAAUACAUGCCUAGGAAAGAAAGGGAAGCAUGAAGAGGAUGCCUUCUGUGGCUGAUGCAAGGAGUGGUUUUGAUAUUCGAUUGUAUAUGUGCCUCUUAUGGCUGAUGGAAAAGGAUGCCUCACUGCUAGUGUGGAACCCCCAAGGUAACCUACUAUUCCACCUCUCUUUUCCGUAGUCAAACUUUGGAAUUAGAAAAGAAUACCGUCUCAUCUGAUUGGACAAAUUGUCCAAUCAUAAUUUCCACACGUCAAAUUCUUUAAAUAUUUUAAUAUUUUUGUGAGAGAAUGUUAGUGUUAAAAUAGGUCCAUUUUGAAAAUUUGCAAAAAUACAAAACUAUUUACAAACGUAGUGUAAAUUUUUUAUUUUAUUGGGUUCCGUCUUUACAAAAGACGGGAACAGAAAUUUUUUUAUUAAUCUUUUUAAGUUCAGUCAAGACUGAAACACAUAUAUACACGAAAACUUUUGGGUUUUUCCUUUUAUUUUCAUUUUUCUAAGUCCAAUUUUAAAACUUAAAAUAUUUUUUUCUCUUUCAAAGUUAGAACAUUGAAGCCCUCUUUGACAUUUAAAUAAACAAUAAAAUGAUCAAUUAGUUUUCUAAGUUUAUAUUAAAUAUUAAAUACAAUAGAAAUUUAUUGAGUUGCAAUAAAACAAUAAAACAAUAAAAAUGACUCUUUCAGUGUUUAUAAAAAAUAUAUUUCAGUUUUUUUGUAAAAAUGACUCUAACUUUUUUUUUUUGCAAAUUCUUUUCAAAAUGACCCCAUUUUAGCACUAAAGCCGUGGGGCACAAAGUUUGGUACAUCUUGAGAUGCUCCAAACAUUUCCAAGAAAAAAAAUCAAUAGAAACAUAACAACAAAUAAUUAAAUUUAUUUUGUCAUUUUUAUAUUUUUUAAUUCGGUAAGAAUAAAAAGAUCAGAAAUUAAAACAUAACAAGUUUAAAAGUGCAUAACUCGAAUUUUAUUUUACUUGAAUUGUAUAUGAUUGUUUUGGGCGCGCUAUAGCAUACAGUAGUUAUAGAUAUAGUGUUAUUUUAGAAGAAUUUAAAUGUCAAUUCGAUAUUUUAAAAACCAGAAUGUUUUCAAAAGUGAAUAAGUAGAACAUCAAGGAAAUAGUUGAGGAUUGAUAUGGAAUUUACAAAAACAAUAAAAUUUCACUUUUGUAAUAGGUAAUAGAUAUCCGUAAUUUUUUUCAAUAAUGUUGCUAUUUAAAAACAAAUUUUCUUUUUCAAAAAGUUCUAAUUAAUUAAAUGUUUGGUAAUUUAAAAUUUUGAUCAAUUUCUUAAAUUUUUUUUAUAAGAAAGAUGAUUUACAAUUUGUGGUUUUUUAUUAACUUUAUGGUAGUUAGUACGUUGGAACAAACCAAAAAUAGUAACAAGUUAUUAAUGAGAAAUAAGAAAGAAGGAAGAAGAUGAUUAGAAUAUAUAUACGGUAAUCAAUGUGAUACAGAUGUCUCCUAGCUGUUAACUUUGUUAGCAGCUUUCCCCUCCCGAUCUACACCACUGUAUUUACAAUUAAAGCCUUGCGAAAGAUAUUCAACAACGUUUUCUUAGGGUUAAGAGUGGUUAAAUACUCAUAUACUUAAUUCAAAUGUAAAAAGUGCCUCCCCUAGUGAUCCAUCUUCCAAAAUCAAACAUCGGAUAGCUACUAUCCUCUCCAUUCUCUUCCGAGAAGUUCAUAAUUCUGCUCAUAAAACCCCACAAAUAAAUAACACACAAAAUACUUUAUCCUUAUAGGAGGGGAAAAAGGUUAUAACCUGAUUUUACAUUUAAACUUUUUUAAUAUUUGUGUAAAUUUUUUAUGAUCUUUUUUGUUAUAUUUGAAAGGACCCUUUAUGGAAAUGUAGUUUGUUUUUCUUGAUUUUUUUUACAAUGAUCAUGAUAUUUAUUUUGAUUUGAAAUUCUUUCUCAAAUUUCAUAAAUAAAUGCACGUUUUAAAAAUCUACUUUUCUUAGUUUUCAAUAUUAGGGUUGGUUUUUGGGUAGCAAAGAAUUAAAAACCUAGAAACAAAUUAUUUCAAAAAGCUACUAACAAAAUUGAAAACCAACCCUUAUUUGAUGACUUUUUUAUUUUUUUUGUAUUUUAAAGUUAUGUCUGUUCUCUCUUUCAUGUUUUAUAGUGUUGUGCAUUUUUUUGUAUGGAUGUUGAGUUUUUAGUCGAAUUCUAAGAACAAAAACAGCUUUUAGUUUAUAAUUGUAGGCGGUUUUUUGUUUUUGAAAAUUUAGCCGAAAAGUCAUACAAAUUUUGUUUUGUUUUUGUUUUUAAAAAAUUGACUAAAAAUUUAAUUAGAGAUAUACAAUUGUAAAAAAAUUACAAGAAAAUAAGGUCAUUUUUUAAAAAUAGAAAACAAAAACAAUUACAAAAAAUGCAGGGAGCUAAGUGGUUGUUUUCGAAAAGCUUAGGUUGUCUUGAAAAAUCAUUUUUUGGGUUUCUCUCAAUCUAUUACCAACAUUUUCAUCUUUCUUAAAGAAAUGUUUUAAUUCCCAAAACGACCAAUAUGGCUUUAGGUAUUGAACUUAAAAUUGUAAUUUGAGAAAAAAAAAAAAAAGAAACAAAAGUGACUUACUUGUUAUAGAGAUCUUCACAAGAAUAAAGCGAUUCAGAAUACCAAUCUGCUGUAAGAAAUCUCGAGGUCGUUCUGUAGUUUUAAUCAGUCGGUCAUUAUUUAUUGUAAUUUCGAAUUGUAAGGAGAUUAUAAGGAGAGACAAAGUAUUUAAAAUUACCUCAUUUCUAAAUCUUCAUCUUUAGAAGCGAUUGAUUCAGAACUUGAAACUACCUCCGGAAAUUCCGGGCUUAUGUACCUGCCCAUUUUUUUUCUCUUCUAAUUAUUAGCACAGCUAAAACAACCGAUAUUGAUAUCUUCUAUAUUUAAUA
Molecule: long non-coding RNA, 3080 nt
Organism: Cucumis sativus (cucumber)
Lineage: Eukaryota; Viridiplantae; Streptophyta; Magnoliopsida; Cucurbitales; Cucurbitaceae
Exons: 3
Source: RefSeq, a predicted model, not a curated record